RNAcentral lists this ribosomal RNA (1052 nucleotides) under Janibacter sp. MBRL 221. Its description in RNAcentral is "bacterial SSU rRNA". It matches the Rfam family "Bacterial small subunit ribosomal RNA", at positions 107 to 1168 of the family's 1533-position model. Lineage: Bacteria; Bacillati; Actinomycetota; Actinomycetes; Micrococcales; Intrasporangiaceae. The record is from RNAcentral.
UGAGUAACACGUGAGCAACCUGCCCCAAACUCUGGAAUAAGCGCUGGAAACGGCGUCUAAUACUGGAUACGAGACCAACCUGCAUGGGUAUGGUUUGGAAAGUUUUUCGGUUUGGGAUGGGCUCGCGGCCUAUCAGCUUGUUGGUGAGGUAAUGGCUCACCAAGGCGACGACGGGUAGCCGGCCUGAGAGGGCGACCGGCCACACUGGGACUGAGACACGGCCCAGACUCCUACGGGAGGCAGCAGUGGGGAAUAUUGCACAAUGGGCGAAAGCCUGAUGCAGCGACGCCGCGUGAGGGAUGACGGCCUUCGGGUUGUAAACCUCUUUCAGCAGGGAAGAAGCGAAAGUGACGGUACCUGCAGAAGAAGCACCGGCUAACUACGUGCCAGCAGCCGCGGUAAUACGUAGGGUGCGAGCGUUGUCCGGAAUUAUUGGGCGUAAAGAGCUUGUAGGCGGUUUGUCGCGUCUGCUGUGAAAAUCCGGGGCUCAACCCCGGACUUGCAGUGGGUACGGGCAGACUAGAGUGUGGUAGGGGGAGACUGGAAUUCCUGGUGUAGCGGUGAAAUGCGCAGAUAUCAGGAGGAACACCGAUGGCGAAGGCAGGUCUCUGGGCCACUACUGACGCCUGAGAAGCGAAAGCAUGGGGGAGCGAACAGGAUUAGAUACCCUGGUAGUCCAUGCCGUAAACGUUGGGAACUAAGGUGUGGGUCUCAUUCCACGAGAUCCGUGCCGCAGCUAACGCAUUAAGUUCCCCGCCUGGGGGAGUACGGCCGCAAGGCUAAAACUCAAAGGAAUUGACGGGGGCCCGCACAAGCGGCGGAGCAUGCGGAUUAAUUCGAUGCAACGCGAAGAACCUUACCAAGGCUUGACAUAUACCGGAAACUUCCAGAGAUGGUUGCCCCUUUUAGGUCGGUAUACAGGUGGGUGCAUGGUUGUCGUCAGCUCGUGUCGUGAGAUGUUUGGGUUAAGUCCCGCAACGAGCGCAACCCUCGUUCUAUGUUGCCAGCACGUAAUGGUGGGGACUCAUGGAAGACUGCCGGGUCACUCCGAG